This 254-nucleotide ribosomal RNA is filed under the name uncultured bacterium. Its description in RNAcentral is "partial 16S ribosomal RNA". It matches the Rfam family "Bacterial small subunit ribosomal RNA", at positions 524 to 776 of the family's 1533-position model. The record is from RNAcentral.
UACGUAGGGUGCGAGCGUUAAUCGGAAUUACUGGGCGUAAAGCGUGCGCAGGCGGUUUUGUAAGUCUGACGUGAAAUCCCCGGGCUUAACCUGGGAAUUGCGUUGGAGACUGCAAGGCUGGAGUCUGGCAGAGGGGGGUAGAAUUCCACGUGUGAGCAGUGAAAUGCGUAGAGAUGUGGAGGAACACCGAUGGCGAAGGCAGCCCCCUGGGUCAAGACUGACGCUCAUGCACGAAAGCGUGGGGAGCAAACAGG